Long non-coding RNA from Brassica rapa (field mustard), 9520 nucleotides. RefSeq lists it as uncharacterized. Lineage: Eukaryota; Viridiplantae; Streptophyta; Magnoliopsida; Brassicales; Brassicaceae. The record is from RefSeq and is a predicted model, not a curated record.
UUGACGUCAGUUCAGUGUCGGCCCUGGCCACAAGCAGAAGAAGCAUGGGCUUCCAGCUGACAUGAUAAUAAGUAUUUUCGCGGCCACAUAUUUAUAAAAAGUGACUUUAGCCUAGUGGUUCUAAGAGAAAUUAUCAGUGCUAUAGGUGCUGGGUUCAAUUACCUUUAACUGCAUUUAUUUAUUUUGGCCCUAAAUAUAAAAUGGAACACAUGUCACUCCCAAAACACACGAAUUGAUGACGUGGCUUCACGGGAGAGAGGCGAACAUUUCUUUAUAUAUAUAGAUAUAGGUACUAAAUUCAAAUAUUUUGUUAGUUUAGGUAUCAUAUCGAUGCACAGACAAAUAGUUUAGGUAUCGAUUAGACAAUAUGACCUUAGUUCGGAUACUAAUCGGCCGUUUUAUUUUUUGAUAAAAUAUCAAAUUGAUUAUAAGAAUGAAAGAAUAUGGUCAUUUACAUAUGUAUAAAAGAUAAGAUAUAUAGCAACAAAGAGUAAAAGGUCAUUAAAGGACCAAAGGCCACUGUCCAAACUCAAUCAUAGAUGGCGAACCAACGCCGUAAGAGACCCUCGUACUUGUGUGCGGCUCCAUAUUUGAACGCAAGAAUGCAGUUACGGUUGGUUCGGUCAAUAUGUCGACACAUCUGCUAUGUUCUCAUCCAACUAGUUCGAUGUCGGCGAGCAUUUCUCUGCCUCUAGAUUAGAUACACUGUCACUUGGAACGCUAGACAGAUCAAAACGUAGUCCAUAGCUGAGAAGCACCCAUUCGUUUGGAGAAAAUGAUGCUUUGACAAAGAAAAUAAAAGGUGUUUUCAAAGUGUUUGGGGAUUAUUUUUUUUUGCGUGGAGAUUCUAAUUCUUCGGAUACCAAAAUAAAAUUAGUGAAAUGCAGCUUAUGCUUUGUCAUUUUCCUUUGAUUGCAUUUUUAUAAUAGUACGUCAGAUUAGUAAACUAAUUACAAAUAAAUUGAAAGAUACCAUUUGUAUUAUUAUGAUUAAAUCCAUUGUUGAUUUGCUUCCACUGCAUGCGAUUUUAUCGAUAUAUAGAAUAUUGGUCUAUUGCUAUGUAGUUGGUCGUUGGGCCAAAUUACUGUCAUCACAAUUGUCAAUAUUUAAACAAAGUCACUUUAAUCGAGGGGUCCUAAAUUAUUGGAGUUGUGUAAACGGUAUAUGGCUCCGAAUGGUGACAGCAGAUUGAUAAUAAAAGCGGGACGGAAUUAGAGUGCGGGAUGGUGUAACUGCGGUUCGUGCAGAAUUAUAGUGCGGUACGGGACAACUGCGGUUUUAAGUAAAAAAACUGUGUUUGAUUGGUGACAAUGCAUAUUUACGGUAUUGAAUGAUUAUUCAAUAAUUAAAUUUGAUUACUAAAAUACUUUUGAAAUAAAAAUACAAAAAAGAGAAAUAUUAAUUCUUUAUAAAACAAAUCAUAUAUCAUGCAGUAAAAUAUAUUUUCUAAUAAUUUUAUACUUCAUUUCAGAUAAUAUGAUGUUAUAAUUGAGUAUUUUUUAUUUCAGUUUAUAUACUAAGGUUAACAUGUUUACAAAAUAAAUAUAUGAAGAACCUAUGCACAGUUACAAAAAAAGAACCUAUACUCAUAAUUGUGUAUUUACGUGCCUUUAUAAUUAUAGUAUAUACUAUCAUAUAUGCUGUUAAAAUAAUUUACAUAUAUAAAUGUGUGCGGUUUUUGAGAAAACACUUUUUCAGUGCGUUCGCGGAUUUGGUAGUAAUACUGUUUAUUUGUAAGACAUCGAAAUUUUUGUGUGUGUUUUGUGAAGUUUUUGGAAAACCGCAAAAGAAAAAUUAGGAAAUAUGUGAUUGGUGACAUUAAAGCGUUUUUUCGAAAACCACAGUGAAAUACGCAAAUUAAAUGUUGCCAUUCAUAACCUAUAUCUUUUUGUGUUAGCGGUUGUUGGAGCAUCGAUCAUUUGUUUAGAAAUUCUAAUUCUGCUACCUAAUUUAACUAGUGAUUGGAAUGAGCUUUAACUUUACCUUUUUGGUUGUAGAAUUUUUUUUUUAUAACCGGUUUAUAUGUUUUUGUAGUGUUUGUUGGAGCAUCGAUCAUUUGUUUAGAGAUUCUAUUUCUACUAUCUAACCUAGCUAGUGAAAAUGAGCUUUAAUUUUACGUUUUUGGUUUUAGAAUUUAAGUUGAAGAUUUAUUUAUUGUAAAAAAUAUUUCACUGUAACUUUGUAAGACACUAUUUUUUCUCUAGAAAUAAAAUUCUCUACAUCAAUUUUAAUUAUCUAGAGAAUUUUAAACAGUAGUUUUUUAAAGAAAAAUUUAAUUGGUAAACAUAUAUAGUAAUAGACUAAAUAUUUGUUGUCUAAAGUAUCUACACCUAUAUAUGACCAGUGGGAAUUUGCACACAAUAGCCAUAAAAAAACAUUAAUUCACCAAGUAACCAUUAGAAAGUCAUGGUUAGAAUAUAACUUAUACAUUAUAUAUUAAUUGUCAUUUCAUCCCUUUAUCUAGGAUUGUCUAGACUUAUUUUUUUAUUACUUUUUUUCUUUUUUUUGGUUACAAUCAUGUUUCCCUUUCUAUUUUUAAUAGCUAUUAGUUUUGUUUAAUAUAAAUAUUCAGUUUUAUAUUUUACAUAAUAAAAACAUAGAUUUUUCUACAUAAUAUGUUUUGAAAAUUUUUUUAAAAAAUAUUUCUAUAAAUUUAAUCUAUAUUACAUAAACUAAGUUUUAAAUCUAUACUAUAUUUUACAUUUAUAUAGUAUAGUUCUAUUUCUUAUUCAUAUAUUGUAAUUUUGUUGUGUUCUAUAUUAUUUAGGAAAUAUAUAAUAGAGUCAAUUAGUUAAAAAAACCACAAAGAAAUUUGAAAUUAGAUAAAUACACAUGAUUUGACAAGUUUGGUGUCUAUCAAUAAAGACACCAUGAUAUGGAAUAGGAUAGUGACUUAAUUAGAAAAAAACUUGUGUAUAUAGGAUGCAAUCUCACUAUAUAAUAUAACCAUAACUUUACAACACAUAUCUUUCUCACCUUCCCUCUCUCUCCCUCUCCCUCUCCCUCUCCCUCUCCCUCUCCCUCUCCCUCUCCCUCGUUUGAUUUGUUGUCUUUUAUUAUAUAGAUUGUUCUAUUUGCAAAUAAGAAAACAUAAUAGUAUUAUGUACCCUGUUAUUGAUAAAGCCAGCGCAUGUUUCAUAUGUUGACUCGCGGUGAAUGAGAAAAAUGUCUACUCAUAAGCAAACCUGUCACAUCAAAUGCUUAUGGUUAUUUUCUUAAUUUUGUUUCUUCCUAUGGCUAGUACUCCAAUUAACCCAUAAUAGACCAAUCACCUCCUAAAUAAAAACUGUAACGUUUGGAUAUAAAAUACCAUUUUUAAUAAUGUUAAUUUGAAAUGAAACUGCACUAAUUUCUUCAUACAAAUGUUAUGUCAUUCAUUACUUCAAACAUGCAACUAAGCUUCUUACGAAAUUAAAUACAAUAUAUAGUUAGUUAUGACUUUUGCUUUCAUGAAUAAUAGUUUUACCACUUUUGAUUUCCUUUGUUUGUUUGAUAGGAUACCAUUGUAUUGUUGUUAUAGAAAUUUUACAGUUACCAUAAGAAAAUAAUGCACUAGUCAAAAAAUAAUAUAUACAGUAAUUUUUUUAUAAAUUAAUACUCAAUAAAUUAGUAAAUUUCAUCGCUUCUGAAAUGAACCAGUUCAGAAAUGAUACAAAUCGCUAAGAUACUAAGAUAACAAUUUUUAGAUAAAAUCCUAUAUAUACACAUAAUUUCAUUAAAUCAUAAAUUAAUAAUAUAUAUAUAUAUAUAAACAAUAUAAAUACAAAUUAAACAUUUUAUUUGUUUGUUUUAUAUUUACAACUGAAUUAUCUCUAUAUUUUACUAAUACUUUAAUAUAUUUAAUAAUAUUUGGUAAAGUCCAAGGCUACCUUAAAGAAUUUGUCAAUGGAUGGACAUUUUGGGCCUUAGAAAAAAGGAGCCCAUAAAAAGAGUUUUAAUUUUUUUUUUUGUCAUCAACAUAUACAAACUCAUAUUGACUGUGUAAACCAAACGGGUGAUUCCACAUCCAUGUGAACGACGUAAGACAGUUGACUCCUGACACUGCGUGCUAGGCUCUCCGCCUUUGAAUUUUGCGUUUGUGGUACAUGAAUGAUCAUUGAGCUGGGGAAGCUUUUUUUCAGGAUCUUGAUAUCAUCUAAAUAACUUGCAAAAGCUGGCAAUUAUUCUGGUUCUGAAACCAUCUUCACCAAUUGAGAAUAAUCCGUUGCAAAUGUAACCUGAAACUGACGUAAGUUCAUCAUACAUUUCAUUGCUCAUAUUAGCGCUUCCACCUCCGUGUGAAGCGGAGAGAGACUACCCCUGACAUUUUUUGCCCCCAUCAAACCAUCAAAACCUUCUAGAGUACUAUACCAACCUUGUCCGGAGAAAAUGUCAUUUUCUUUCCAAGAACCGUCUGUAAAAUACCAGCAUCCUGGGAUUAACGGUAGGGUCGUAACCUCUGCAGAUUGUACUGCCCUCUAGGUGUUCAUCACAUGUGCCUCCGCCUAAAGUGUUGAUUUGGUUUCCCCCAAUUUGAAUGUUUCCGUGGGAUCCAUGUCCAAAUUGCUAAAUACUUUAUUAUUUCUUCCUUUUCAAAUGUACCAUAGUAUCUAUGCAAACUGAUGAUCAUCCAUUUGCGAAAGAACUCUCCAGAAAAAGUGAUCCAUAUUUGUAAAUAUGGAACUAGUUGGAAAAAUAGUUGGGUUUGAUGAGAUCUUUGAUAACGCCAAACCUGAAGUGCUGGAGGGCAUUCAAAGAACAAUUCAUGAUUUAUCGACUCGUCUGAAGCUCCACAACGGGCACAACAUAUGUCCCCUUCUAUUUCCCUUGUGCGCAGAUUCUUCCUAACUGAUAUGGAUCAUGACACCAAUUGCCAUAAAAAGAGUUUUACUUAGUUUUGUUGAAGUAGAGACAAUAUUUUUGAGUAAGGUUUAAUGGUCUUUUUAAAACUUGUUUCUUACAAAACCUUUCUCUAAAUUAGCAAUUCACCAUGGCCAAUAUUUCGUUUUUAGAUUAUUGAUCUAUGAUCUUUAUAUAUUGUUAUUAUUCUAUAUUUUUGUGUUCACACAAUUUUUUUCUGGAAAACUACGAAAAAUCACUUUAGUUAUGAUACAAUUUAUAUUUUGUCUCUAUAAGUGUUUCUCCACAUCAAACGUUCCUAUAUAUUGUUUUAAUCAUUGACGUAUUGUAUAUGAUUUAGUGUACAGUGAAUGGUCUAACUGAAUUUAAACGUUUUUCUAAUUUCAGGUUCACUCACUUCCUUGGAAAUUCAUAUUACAAGGUGAUAUUUUCGGGUUAUUUGAUAUUUAGCUUAAAUUAUGACUGAGAAUUACUUAUUGGGAUAUCAAAAAAGGAAAAGAAAACAAGUUAGCAGAAUUGUUUAUAAAAUCUCAGAAAGGUUCUAUGGAUAAAUUUGUGAUAUGAGAAAAUUCUAAUAAAUAUCAUGAACCUGCUAUUAAGAGGAUAAUAGUACUGAAUCAAAUGAUCAUUUGAGCGGGCAUAAUAAUGUGUUAGACGAAUCUAAUGUUGAAGGCUUGAAUGUUCAUGAACAAAAAAUGGCUCAUUCAUUGAUAUAUAUGAUCCUAGGCAUUGGAACAACCUUGAUAAUAACAUGGAAGAUUUGUUAGUUGAAAAGAGGUUUAAAAAAGCAAUGAAUCUUGUGUUUCCCUUAUAUAAGAGCUCUAGAUGGUUUUCAUAUGCUUAUGAUUCUAAGUUGAGUAAUGGGGAAAUUAGUGAUAAAAUUGGUUGGUUUACUCUAAACAUGAGGACAUAUGUUGCUGUUUUUGUGGCAAGUUUUUUAAAUCUAAUGUUUUCUUAAGUUCGUUAGCUAAUGAUAAAUCAAAAGAAUGGAAGCAUCUCAGUGAGAGGAUUAAAUACCAUGAUAAAAAAAGUAGAUCAUAUGACUAACAUGAAAACUUGGAAUGUAUUAAAAGUUAGAAUGGAGAAAAAUUAAGGAGUGAUAAAGGAUUACGAAAAAAUUACAAAAGCAAAAGAGCGUUGGAGGCUUAUUUUAAUUAGAAUAAUUGUUGAAGUGAAAUUUCUUGCUAAACGGAAUUUCGCAUUUAGAGGAAAAAUGAAAAACUUUAUCAAGAUAACAAUGAUAAUUUCUUAAGCUCUAUUGAGAUGAUUGCAGAACUUGACUUGGUAAUUCAAACUCAUAAUAGACACAUUCAAAGUCUAGAAAUCCAUCAUCAUUAUUUGGGUAAUAAUAUUCUGAAUGAGCUUAUUUCUCUUUUAGCUCAUAAUGUUUAAAUUUCCUUUGUAUAAGUCAUUAAAGAGGAAAUUAUUUUUUUGUCAUUCUUGAUUGUACACCGGAUACCGGAUGCGGGCCACCAAGAACAAAUGACUCUAGUAGUAAUAUGUGAAUCUAUAAAAUAAAAAUAUAAGAGUACAAGAGUAUUUCUUAGAGUUUCAUAUGGUAGAUGACACAUCCAGACUAGGACUGUUUGAAAAUUGUUAGAUUCUCUAAAGUCUCUUACUAUUAAUGUUGGUAAUGUGAGUGAUCAAUGUUAUAAUGGUGGUUCCAAUAUGGAAAGGAAAACAUCUAGGUGUUCAGAAAAUAAUUUUUUGAUAUAAAUCUAAAAGCAUUGUACAUAUUGUGUGAUUGUCAUAGUCUUAAUAUUGUUGUUAGUGAUGUGGCUUAUUCGUGUGUAAAAGCUAUUUCAUUCUUUGGAAAUUUGCAGUGUAUAUGUAUAUGCCUUGUUUAAUUUCUUGUUCUACAAAGAGAUAGAAGAUUUAAUUUGACAAUGUUCUUUUUAGAGUGAAAUCUUUAUACAGUACUCCUAGGAAGAGUCUCAAUCAAAAGUCUCAAUGCAAUUAGAUUUCAAGCUCCACAAGUCAGUUUUAUUUGAACUUACAAGCUAAAUCUGUAUGCAUUGAUAAUGCUUUGAAACAAUUAGAAGGUGUAGUUUAAUUCUGUUUUUGGGGAAGUAUAGACAUGAAGGGUUUACUUUUAGUUUAAGUAUAACUCAAUGUAUUUCUCAUGAUAUGGAUGUUGAUCCUGUAUUUACAUAAAUGUUAAAUCUUUUGAAAAAAAAACAGUUUGACGAAACUCAGUUACAUGAAAAAAAAAUACUAGAGUGUGAAGAUGAUUUUUAGAGUUAAUUAUUUUUAAUUGACAUGGAAAUAAAUUGAGUCAAAAACAUAUUUAAUCAAAUGAUGAAUUUUAAAAGUGUUUUUGGUUUUUUUAUUUGAUUUGAGAACAUUAAAAGCAUUCGAUGAAAGUAAAGUAUGAGAACAUUGUACUAAUUUUCACAAAGGUUUUUUCAUAGUAGUUGAUAUUUCUCAAAUUAACCUAGAGCAACCUAGUUGAUAUUUCUCAAAUUAACCUAGAGCAACCUUCUCUCUCAAAUAAGAUAUCGAAUUGUAGUACUAAAAGAUCAAAUCCACAUGGAGCGUGGUCACACAAUAAACUAUAAAAAUCAAUAUUAAGCUAGGGAAGUAAUUAUCAAAGUAUUAAAUAGCAAUAAAUAAGUAAAUAUUCGGUUGUAAGAUAUUGGGAUGAAAGUUAGACUUCGGAUUUCAGGCAAUCAUAAUUAUCAGUUAUAGAUGCUAAGGGUGUGUGAUGAACCGAUCUAGAACUCUAAUGCAAUAGUAAAAUAUCCAGCUCUUGCUGCGAGUCUAAUCAGAUCUUUAAUCCAAUAUUCUAGCUCUCGCGUAAGAAUGAGGAGCGAUUGUCGAUCGAUACUACAUUGUUUCGAUCGAUACCUAUUUAAACAAGCAUUAAUGCCUAAUCGAUAUGUUGACCUGAUGAUUAAACCAGCUCUCGCAUGCGCCUAAAAACCUAGCUCAGCAGGAUUAUUAUCACGUAAUGAACUCACUUGUGUGGUUGUCUAUAAUCCUAUGUUCAGGGUUCUAGUUAGCUAUUAUAGAACACAAGGAGUUAGAUCAAUUCUAGGAAGGAUCUCAUAAAUUAUCCUACCAGUUCUAUGUAUCAAUAAUUCAUUGAAACCUUAAUAAAACACUAAAUCCAACAUGAUGGUUACUUCGACAUAAAGAAUAAGUGAACGAAAUUGCAUGAAUAGAAUAAAGUAAGAGAUAUCAGAGUUCUUAUACAAAUUUCUGAAUGAGUCUUUGAUCUUCUCUCCAAAAACUACUAAAACUAAAAGCUCUGUGAAUAUGUAUAAGGUGGUUUGUAAGAUGUGUGUUUUGGGUAGACAAUACCAAAAACUAUAAAUAUUAGGUAUAAAGUCUGCCAGGAGCAAUCUUGUAAUAUGUGGAAAUUUUGGGCUUGAGUCGGCUUGAAACAAGUCGGGCCCGUCUACUUGCGCGGAUGUAGAGCGACACCAAGGAAGAGGUGUCGAUCGACACUUUUCUGAAUGUCGGCUCUGUCUUCUAGUUUCUUGAGAAGCUGCAAGUUUUUUCAUCCAUAAGCUCUAAAAUGCUCCAUAAUCUCCACAUUGCUCCAAAACAUAUUUGGAUCUGAAAUACUCUAAAUAGAGACUCUGAAAAUAACUUAUACAAUGGCUAAAUACUGUAAAUCAUUUUUAUUCUGAAUUGAGAAUCUUGUAAAUUACUUUACGUGUUGUGUUUAUAAAAGGGAAAAAUGUUAAACAAAUCCUCAGCUUUUUCAUUUGGACCAUUAUAAUCCCCAGCUUUCGGAAAGACCUGAAAAACAAUAAACUUUUCUUUGACUUUAAAAAAACCAGCUAACUUUUCUUUGACUGGAUCAAAUUAGACCCGACGUUAAUUAGACUAACGGAACAUGUUAACCCUGUUAAUUUGCGCAGUUAGCCAAUACGACAACGUUUUAUCUUAAACUUCAAAAUAAGAUCCGAAACCCUAAUAUCAUUUUCCCCCAAAUCGAUUUGGGGAUUUUCUUGACACACCAACCCUAAAAUUUGCGAUUACAACUCAAAAUCCUCCAAUCCCACACGACUGACUUCCCAUAGCACGAAGAUGAGUUCGGAUUUGACAGCUGAGAGUUCAACCGUGAACACAUACGGUAUUCGCGGGUUUCCGGCGAGCUGUGUUUGCGGGACUAAGACAACAAUCUACACGUCUGAGACUAACAAGAAUCCGGGGAGACCUUUCUUCAGAUGUCUUACGAGAAGAAAGGUAGCUUCUUAUCUUCUUGAUUAUAUUGUUGUCGUUUAUUCAAAUUGAACAUAAAGAAAUAUGCCUAAAAUUUUAUGGUUUUUGCAUAGAACCACUUGUUUAAAUGGGUUGAGGAUGCUGUUUAUGAAGAGGUUCAAGAUGCCUUACCAAAGAUUGUACUGCUUGAAGCUGAGCUUAACAAAGAAAAAUCUGAUAUUGAGGAUUUGAAAGGCGUGGUCACUGAGUUGAUGGAAGAGGUUGUAAGAGCCAAAAAAGAGGUGAAGAGGUGUAAGGUGAUGAUGACGAUCUUGUUUGUGAUCAUGUGCGUGAUCAUCAUUGUCCUACUAGUUAGUUUGAUGUAGAAUUAAGUUAGUUAUUUGCUUGAGGUGAAGAACUAAAUUGUUGGUGUUUGUGUCUUGUUGUAUUUACUUGAUUAAGUGACAAUUUUAAUGUUUGGUCUUGACUAUGUUUGGGGCUUAAUUUAGUGACUAUUAUGUUGGUUUCA